UGUGUCCUACGGGGCGCAGCAGUGAGGAAUAUUGGUCAAUGGGCGCGAGCCUGAACCAGCCAAGUAGCGUGAAGGAUGACUGCCCUACGGGUUGUAAACUUCUUUUAUAAAGGAAUAAAGUGAGGCACGUGUGCCUUUUUGUAUGUACUUUAUGAAUAAGGAUCGGCUAACUCCGUGCCAGCAGCCGCGGUAAUACGGAGGAUCCGAGCGUUAUCCGGAUUUAUUGGGUUUAAAGUGAGCGUAGAUGGGUUGUUACGUCAGUUGUGAAAGUUUGCUGCUC
Molecule: ribosomal RNA, 280 nt
Filed under: uncultured bacterium
Lineage: Bacteria
Description: partial 16S ribosomal RNA
Rfam family: Bacterial small subunit ribosomal RNA
Source: RNAcentral